This 458-nucleotide ribosomal RNA is filed under the name Escherichia coli. Its description in RNAcentral is "bacterial SSU rRNA". It matches the Rfam family "Bacterial small subunit ribosomal RNA", at positions 1 to 461 of the family's 1533-position model. Lineage: Bacteria; Pseudomonadati; Pseudomonadota; Gammaproteobacteria; Enterobacterales; Enterobacteriaceae. The record is from RNAcentral.
AAGAGUUUGAUCAUGGCUCAGAUUGAACGCUGGCGGCAGGCCUAACACAUGCAAGUCGAACGGUAACAGAAAGCAGCUUGCUGCUUUGCUGACGAGUGGCGGACGGGGGAGUAAUGUCUGGGAAACUGCCUGAUGGAGGGGGAUAACUACUGGAAACGGUAGCUAAUACCGCAUAACGUCGCAAGACCAAAGAGGGGGACCUUCGGGCCUCUUGCCAUCGGAUGUGCCCAGAUGGGAUUAGCUUGUUGGUGGGGUAACGGCUCACCAAGGCGACGAUCUCUAGCUGGUCUGAGAGGAUGACCAGCCACACUGGAACUGAGACACGGUCCAGACUCCUACGGGAGGCAGCAGUGGGGAAUAUUGCACAAUGGGCGCAAGCCUGAUGCAGCCAUGCCGCGUGUAUGAAGAAGGCCUUCGGGUUGUAAAGUACUUUCAGCGGGGAGGAAGGGAGUAAAGUU